This 692-nucleotide ribosomal RNA is filed under the name uncultured archaeon. RNAcentral's name for it is "bacterial SSU rRNA". It matches the Rfam family "Archaeal small subunit ribosomal RNA", at positions 102 to 794 of the family's 1478-position model. The record is from RNAcentral.
GGAUAACCUACCCUUAGGACUGGGAUAACCUUGGGAAACUGAGGAUAAUACCGGAUAGGCAAUUUUUCCUGUAAUGGUUCUUUGUUUAAAUGUUUUUUCGCCUAAGGAUGGGUCUGCGGCCGAUUAGGUAGUUGGUUAGGUAAUGGCUUACCAAGCCGUUGAUCGGUACGGGUUGUGAGAGCAAGAGCCCGGAGAUGGAACCUGAGACAAGGUUCCAGGCCCUACGGGGCGCAGCAGGCGCGAAACCUCCACAAUGUGAGAAAUCGCGAUGGGGGGAUCCCAAGUGCCAUUCUGAAAGGGAUGGCUUUUCAUUAGUGUAAAAAGCUUUUGGAAUAAGAGCUGGGCAAGACCGGUGCCAGCCGCCGCGGUAACACCGGCAGCUCUAGUGGUAGCAACUUUUAUUGGGCCUAAAGCGUCCGUAGCCGGUUUAAUAAGUCUCUGGUGAAAUCCUGUAGCUUAACUGUGGGAAUUGCUGGAGAUACUAUUAGACUUGAGACCGGGAGAGGUUGGUGGUACUCCCAGGGUAGAGGUGAAAUUCUGUAAUCCUGGGAGGACCGCCUGUUGCGAAGGCGUCUAACUGGAACGGUUCUGACGGUGAGGGACGAAAGUUAGGGGCGCGAACCGGAUUAGAUACCCGGGUAGUCCUAACUGUAAACGAUGCGGACUUGGUGUUGGGGUGGCUUUGAGCUGUC